AAGUAGUCAAUUAGUCUUGAGUAAAUUUUAUAUGUUGAUCAAACUGAAGUUUCAAAAUGUUGGCAGUAUAAUAUUAAAUUCUGAGAAACUUGCUUUAUUAAAAUGAUAUUUCACAAUUUAUCUUAUCUUAAUAAUUUAUUUGGUUUAUGUAUUGCUGUUUAAUUUAUUGUUUAUUAUAUUAAUAAAUUUAAAUAAUGAGGUUGGAGAAUUAAUUAAAGAAUUCAAGUCAAAAUGUAAUAAUAUUAAGGUUAAAGUGAGUUGCUUUUUUUUAGAAAAUAAAGAAUGAGAAAUAAAUUGAAAUAUUUAUGGGAAUUAGGAUUAGGUUGUAAAAGAAGAGUAGUUAGUUUUUUUGAUAAUAUUUAUAGGUAUGU
RNAcentral lists this ribosomal RNA (371 nucleotides) under Harveyus sp. AMNH LP3753. RNAcentral describes it as "partial small subunit ribosomal RNA". Lineage: Eukaryota; Metazoa; Arthropoda; Arachnida; Schizomida; Hubbardiidae. The record is from RNAcentral.